CUGUGCUAGCUGGGGAGGUAGCGGUGCCCUGUAACUUGCAACCCGCUGUAGCAAGAGUGAUGCUUAGGCUGAGGCACCAUUUUGUGAAGACUGCCUUUAGCAAGUAGUGAUGACGAUUGGGUCUUACGCAAUAGCUCCUUAUGAACCGUGUCAGGUCUUGACGGAAGCAGCACUAAGUAAGAUCGGUUAUGUGCCGUGAGGGUGCCUGAUCUGAGCAAACUACUAAGGUAACGCUUGUAAGGUGUUGUCGAAGCCAAGUGCACAG
RNAcentral lists this signal recognition particle RNA (265 nucleotides) under Epulopiscium sp. Nele67-Bin004. RNAcentral describes it as "Bacterial large signal recognition particle RNA". It matches the Rfam family "Bacterial large signal recognition particle RNA". From Rfam's summary of the family: The signal recognition particle (SRP) is a universally conserved ribonucleoprotein involved in the co-translational targeting of proteins to membranes. Archaeal SRP consists of a 7S RNA and homologues of the eukaryotic SRP19 and SRP54 proteins. Lineage: Bacteria; Bacillati; Bacillota; Clostridia; Lachnospirales; Lachnospiraceae. The record is from Rfam by way of RNAcentral.